Molecule: long non-coding RNA, 1325 nt
Organism: Bubalus bubalis (water buffalo)
Lineage: Eukaryota; Metazoa; Chordata; Mammalia; Artiodactyla; Bovidae
Exons: 10
Source: RefSeq, a predicted model, not a curated record
GCAGUAGAAUCACCUGGAGGGCCUGUGAAAUGGAACGUCCAGGCCCCGCCCUUGGGGAUUUCUGAUUGGUGGGUCUGGGCCCAAUAAGCUUGUGUUUCCAAGUUCCCAGGUGAUGCCAAUGCUGCGCCACCAAGUCUCAGGCUGGAAACCACUGCUUUAGGUCCACAGUCUCCUCCCUAGAAGCCUCAGGAAACAAUAAAUUCAAAAUAAAUUAGCCUUCAAAUCAGAUGGAAAGAUACAUUCAUCCUUUAAGUCCUUUUGUGAGGAGAUGAAUUACAAAUGGAAACUUCAGGGCAGAGGAUGUGUGUUUCAUCACUUUUGUAGCUUAUCAGUGUCACGACAACCUCAUGGAGGAGGCAGUAGGGGGAUGCUGCUGCAGAUGGUGCGUGAGAGACGAAGAAGUUACUUCAUUCAGAGGCAUCCACUCAACUAGUAAGAGACUUCAGACUUGCACACUGAUCAGUAUCAUUCAAGAUAAGGUCCUGUGCUGAGAUUCUUGGGGAUAGGAUUUCAACAUGUGAAUUUGGAGGGACAUAGUUCAAGCUAUUCCAGGACCUCUGUGGUGACACAGGCCCAUCCAGAUAAUCCAGAAUAGUCUCUCCAUUACUUAAGUAAGCAGAUUCUUACUCCAUCAUAUCUGCAAGGUGACAGGGUGUGUGAAAACAUUUGUCUUUAAAAGGAUCCAUGCACAUUGGAGUUUGAUUCGGACCAGUGUGGAAGUUUAGCUCUCAUGGUGUUGGGAUUCACAGCUGGAAUGUUCCCACAGCCCUGCCCCUGCAUUUAGGAUCCAGUGAAGCAACCCCAAGACAGACCUCCUGCAAUUCAGCUCUAGUCGGCCUACAGGUCCUCUUGGUGUCAGUCACCUGCCCUCCUCUACCUCUGCCCACUCAGCUGCCAGGUGAUGCCAUUGCACAUGAAGGAGGUGACAGACACAGAGAUUGGGACUCUGGGCUGAGCAGACAUGUGGUGACUUGUUCAAGGGAGAAAGCAGGCAAGAAUACUGGAAUGGGUAGCCGUUCGCUUCUCCAGGGGAUCUUCCCAACCUAGGAAUUGAACCAGGAUCUUCUGCAUUGUAGGCAGAUUCUUUACCAGCUGAACUACCAGGGAAGCCAAAGAGUGCUCUUAGAACUUAAUAUGUUUAAAAGGUGGAUUCUUUAUUGUCUGGAGAGAUGAAAAUGUGCUAAAAUUGGUUUGUGGUAAUGAUUGCCUGAAGUCUGUGACUAUGAAUCUGAAUCUGUAAAAGCAAUUCAAUUGUGCACUUGAAAUGAUUCUGCUGCUGCUGCUAACUCACUUCAGUCGUGUCCAACUCUGUGCGACCCCAUAGG